UCUUUUUCUUUUUUUCAUAUUUUUCCUUCCCUCUUCUCUUUGACGGGGUCUAACGAAAAUAGUCUUUCUAUUUUAUUUUGAGAUAGUGAUAUGAAUUGUGUAAUCUUAGAUUUUUUAGAACCUCUUUUGCUGGAAUAUACUGAAAAUAUUAUUGUCUUUUAAUUUUUGUGAACUAACAAUUAUCAAAAAAUAUGAUUAUAAAUUAUAGCGGUAUGUUGCAUUUUUCUUGUAGGAGAAGUUUAACUUUAAUGUGUUUGAGGGAAGAAAAGGUACAAUUUUGGGUCAUAUGAAUGAUCUAUAUAGAGAUUAUAGACACAAGCUGAAACAAAAGUAUUUUGAUGCAAAAACAACUUACCAACUUCGCUUACGCAUUAAGCCUAAACUUCUUGUCUCAGACGACUAGAAAUAUUUGGUCAAUCUUUGGAGUGAUGCGAACUUUCAGAAGAAAGGCGGAAAAGCUCCAUCUCGUGUUGAAGUCUUUAUUAAAUCGCGCAAGAGAAAAAAUGGAAAAUAAAUUGAUACUUUUCAACAAGAUGUAAUUGAUCAAUUAGAACAACACAAAAAGUGCAAAAAGAAGGAGAAAUUUUCUUAAAUGAUGAUGAUAUUUUUGAAAAGGUUCUUGGGACUGAAAAAAAUGAAUAUCUUCGUGCAUAUGGACCAGGAAAAAAUAUCAGUGAAUACUUUGGUGGAAGACCGACAAAGUUACAACUCAUAAAACAAGUAGAAUCAAUUAAAAAGGAAUCAAAUGAGCAUGUGAAAAAAGUCAAACGAGAAGCUAAAGAAGAAUCAGAAGAAAUGAAGAAAGAAAUGGAGGAUAAGAUCGCAGAAUUGGAUAAACGAUGGGAAGAAAGAUUUCAAAGGAUGUUUGCAACUCAAAGUCAAGAGUGAUUGCAUGGUGUGGAGUGAUGGAAUAUCAAAUCAAUGAAGGCCUAUGAUUAUAUUUUCUUGCAAGAUGUUUUAUUAUUUUGGAACAAUAUCAUUG
Molecule: long non-coding RNA, 982 nt
Organism: Capsicum annuum
Lineage: Eukaryota; Viridiplantae; Streptophyta; Magnoliopsida; Solanales; Solanaceae
Exons: 3
Source: RefSeq, a predicted model, not a curated record